ACGUUGGGCGCUAGGUGUGGGGCCUAUUCCAUGGGUUCCGUGCCGCAGCUAACGCAUUAAGCGCCCCGCCUGGGGAGUACGGCCGCAAGGCUAAAACUCAAAGGAAUUGACGGGGGCCCGCACAAGCGGCGGAGCAUGCGGAUUAAUUCGAUGCAACGCGAAGAACCUUACCUGGGUUUGACAUACACCGGAAAGCUGUAGAGAUAUGGCCCCUUUUGUCGGUGUACAGGUGGUGCAUGGCUGUCGUCAG
This 250-nucleotide ribosomal RNA is filed under the name uncultured bacterium. RNAcentral describes it as "partial 16S ribosomal RNA". It matches the Rfam family "Bacterial small subunit ribosomal RNA", at positions 806 to 1058 of the family's 1533-position model. The record is from RNAcentral.